This 511-nucleotide long non-coding RNA is filed under the name Oryza sativa Indica Group (long-grained rice). RNAcentral describes it as "lncRNA OsMH63_07G022640". The record is from RNAcentral. Lineage: Eukaryota; Viridiplantae; Streptophyta; Magnoliopsida; Poales; Poaceae.
AUGAGAGGAGUCUUGGAUGAUGAUUCGGAGGUCGAGAGAUUGGUGGUCAUUGGCUCCGGAGGCUGCGGGUUCCGCUUGGGAGGAUAUGGAUUGGGGGCUUGCCCUCGCGGCUGUGGGAUCAACGGCGGGCGGAGAUGGACAGGGCUGGAGCCAAGCAUGGGGGAGGAGGCCGACGACGAGGAAGGGGGGAUAGCGAGGAGGACGAGGUCUCGGCGGCGGCCGGUGGCGCGGUGCUGGGAUCGGAGGCGGAGAUCCGAGAGGCGAACUCGUCGGAAGGUGGGCCGACGCGGGGGAGCGGUAGGAGAGGGCGCAGCUCUGGCGAUCCCGGACAGAGAUGCGAGCUCGUCGAGGGCGGCUGAGGCGGCGAGUGCGGCGGGGGCGAGGGAAGGGGAUAAGGGGUUCAUCCGGUCAUGCAACAGCCGGGGAGAUGGCAACAAGGUGUCAAGGUCGGAGCUCAAGCAGCAGCGAAGUGGGCAGUUAUGGCUGCGCCUCCACAGAUAGGACAAAAGGA